This 233-nucleotide ribosomal RNA is filed under the name uncultured bacterium. Its description in RNAcentral is "partial 16S ribosomal RNA". It matches the Rfam family "Bacterial small subunit ribosomal RNA", at positions 100 to 334 of the family's 1533-position model. The record is from RNAcentral.
CGGGACGGGUGAGUAAUGUCUGGGAAACUGCCUGAUGGAGGGGGAUAACCACUGGAAACGGUAGCUAAUACCGCAUAACGUCGCAAGACCAAAGAGGGGGACCUUCGGGCCUCUUGCCAUCGGAUGUGCCCAGAUGGGAUUAGCUAGUAGGUGGGGUAACGGCUCACCUAGGCGACGAUCCCUAGCUGGUCUGAGAGGAUGACCAGCCACACUGGAACUGAGACACGGUCCAG